GUCUGGCUGGCUUGGUAGAGCAUGAGACUCUUGAUCUCAGGGUCGUGGGUUUGAGCCCCACGUGGCAUG
RNAcentral lists this transfer RNA (69 nucleotides) under Ursus americanus (American black bear). It matches the Rfam family "tRNA". From Rfam's summary of the family: Transfer RNA (tRNA) molecules are approximately 80 nucleotides in length. Their secondary structure includes four short double-helical elements and three loops (D, anti-codon, and T loops). The record is from Rfam by way of RNAcentral. Lineage: Eukaryota; Metazoa; Chordata; Mammalia; Carnivora; Ursidae. RNAcentral also lists the same sequence under 2 other names.